Molecule: ribosomal RNA, 307 nt
Filed under: uncultured bacterium
Lineage: Bacteria
Description: bacterial SSU rRNA
Rfam family: Bacterial small subunit ribosomal RNA
Source: RNAcentral
GAUGAACGCUGGCGGCGCGCCUAACACAUGCAAGUCGAACGGUUAAAGCACCUUCGGGUGUGUAUAAAGUGGCGAACGGCUGAGUAACACGUGGGCAACCUGCCCCUCGCACCGGGAUAGCCUCGGGAAACCGUGGUUAAUACCGGAUACUCCGGGACCCCCGCAUGGGGGUGCCGGGAAAGCCCUGACGGCGAGGGAUGGGCCCGCGGCCUGUUAGCUUGUUGGCGGGGUAACGGCCCACCAAGGCGACGAUUGGUAGCCGGACUGAGAGGUUGAACGGCCACAUUGGGACUGAGACACGGCCCAG